CACACCUUUGUCCAUUAUCUGAAUCCCUGAGCUACAGGACAAUGACACACGUUGUGAUGGUCACUCUUCAUGGUCAACUUGACUGGACUCAUAAUUACCUGGAAGACAUAAUCCUAGGAAUAUCUUUCUUUCCAGAGAUGCUUAACUGUGGAUAGAAGGCCCACCCUGAAUGUGGAUGAUACAGUCCAUGGCAUGAAUAAGAAGAGUGAAAGUUCUCAGGAAAGCCACCUGACCACUAGCGAUCAUCUCCCUCUUUUCCUUAUGUAGGGAGUUGUUGCUGCGUGCUCCUCCUUCCGUGAACUCUUCCAUGCCAUCUCUGCUGAUGGAUUGUGCCAGCCAUAGGACAAACCAAAUUAAUCUAUCUUGAUUUGAUUUCUGUCAAAGCAAUGACAAAAAUUAAUCUCACAAAUGAUAACAGGCAAGUCGACGUCUAGCCUGAAUCAUUAGGUCUUGGCUUCCUGUCUAAUUCCAUGGCCCUGGUGUAUUCUAAGGCAAAUAUAAGUACUCUCAACCUGACAGAGUCCAUUGAAAUGAUUGUGCUGUGGAGAGGAAGAGUUUUCAGGUUAAGCAGUAACUGAAAUGUGAAGUUAAAUGACAAACGAGAAGAGGAAACAGACAAAUACUUGUUGUAAAUACAAAUAAAAACAUCUUAAAAUA
RNAcentral lists this long non-coding RNA (657 nucleotides) under Mus musculus (house mouse). Its description in RNAcentral is "predicted gene, 20139". The record is from RNAcentral. Lineage: Eukaryota; Metazoa; Chordata; Mammalia; Rodentia; Muridae.